This 1112-nucleotide long non-coding RNA is filed under the name Brachypodium distachyon (stiff brome). Its description in RNAcentral is "long non-coding RNA (BDIS_LNC005554)". The record is from RNAcentral. Lineage: Eukaryota; Viridiplantae; Streptophyta; Magnoliopsida; Poales; Poaceae.
UCCAGUUCUUUAGAAUUGUAGACCCACAUAUUCAGGUAUGGUUGCUCUCUAUCGGCAUAUUGUGUUUUCCUUGGUUGCUCUUUUAUUGCUUGGAAGACCAAGAAACCGACAACUGUCUCUCGGCAUCUUGCUGAUUUUCACAUGAAGGAGGAAACUCGAUUACAACAUGUCUUUUUUCUCCAAAUUCAGUAUUUAGGAUCCACCAUGAGUUUGAGGGGGUGUCAAGUGUUCUGUUAUUAACAUAUUGUGUACGUUUUCUUUUGCUUAUUUCCAUAUGUGUUAUUAGCAUAUUAUUCUGUCCAAGGGCUCCUUUGCAAUAUAUAAGUCUUUUUUCUUGUAACAUUAUUUAUUUUGUAUUUAUUCUUAGAUUUGUUAGGCUGCCAAUUUUGCAUGUCCUGCAUAUCUUCUUUUUGCCAAAUAGAGUGAUGAACAUGUUUUUGAGGUUUACUCUAAUUUGUUAUGUCCGAAUCCUGUCAUCUUGUUUAAGUACAUAUAGUUAAUCAAUUGUAUCGAAUCCACGCAAAAGUAAGAAAGAUUUUCUUCACGAGAUGCCCAUAAUCACACCAGGCAACCAUUGCAUGAGUUCAACUCAUAACAUUUUAAGACCACUAUAAAUGCUGGUGAAUCAAUUUGAGAUUGUUACAACAUUGUGUGAGGUGCAUGUUUCAUCAGAAAACCUUGUUUAUUUGCAAACCAUUUAGUUGUUUUGACCGUAUUUUUUUUUGUUUUAAAAUGGAGAAAUAUAACAUUGAUGACAUUAGUUAGUUAAAAUAUACGUUUCAUUCUUUUAUGACGCGGCAUUAUGUGAUACCUGGUGUGAUAUUUUUUGAAAAACCUGAGAAAGAUAGUGUUGUAGUAAAAUAAAACUCCUAUAUGGGCCGGACCGUAAAUCUUAAGUGACGAUGACUAGGUCAACAUUUCCCAACGUGAGUCAAGGUGCCAACGUGGCGUAGUCAAUCCUAUGUGUCAAAAAAAGUCAAAAAGUCAAGCCUCUCAUGUCAUGGUCAAAUGGUGGAAUGAGCUAGAGUAGGGGGCAAGAAAGAUGUAAGCAUGAGGCUUUUGGUCCAUGAUGGAUCAUGGACCAACCCCCACUUUUUCCACUUGGUGCACAC